Molecule: long non-coding RNA, 545 nt
Organism: Daphnia magna
Lineage: Eukaryota; Metazoa; Arthropoda; Branchiopoda; Diplostraca; Daphniidae
Exons: 3
Source: RefSeq, a predicted model, not a curated record
GAAAAACUUAAAAAACACUUCUGAUUUAGUUGAUAAAGAAAAGCAUUAAAUUUCAAAUAGCAGUUGUUAACAAUAAGUUUUUGCUUUUUAAUUUCUUAUAUUGAAUAUUCUAAAUAGAUGUGGUUAGCGUUGAAAACAAUUGACAAUCAACUGUCAAGAGGAGUGGUGGCGUCUUCUUCUUGGCGUCUCGAUUUAAUCAAAAUGCUUUAUUUCAUAAUGGACAGACAAUCAAUCAUGGUUCCCAGACGUGGUAAAAGAAUUACGGCUUGGAAGCCAGCAAAAAACCUAAUUUUUAGCGAGUCCUAUCUGUGACAGAGAUCAGUGAAGUCGAAAGUAAAAAAAGUCAAAGAAAUAGGAAUGUGUCCUCCAAAGACGUUGGCCAGAGUAGCUGUUGGUAAACCAAAAAACCAGCCGUUGAAUGCUUUUGUAAGGACGGGGAAUGAAAAUAGUUUUCCUUACUUUUAAUAUUGAAUAUGGGGAAUAGUUGUGUGUGAUGAUGAUGAGUUUAUUGUUGCACACAGUUUUUGGCAAAGACCGAGAUAACA